RNAcentral lists this RNase P RNA (334 nucleotides) under Chloroflexota bacterium. RNAcentral's name for it is "Chloroflexi bacterium (anaerobic digester metagenome) RNase P RNA component class A". It matches the Rfam family "Bacterial RNase P class A". From Rfam's summary of the family: Ribonuclease P (RNase P) is a ubiquitous endoribonuclease, found in archaea, bacteria and eukarya as well as chloroplasts and mitochondria. Its best characterised activity is the generation of mature 5'-ends of tRNAs by cleaving the 5'-leader elements of precursor-tRNAs. The record is from RNAcentral. Lineage: Bacteria; Bacillati; Chloroflexota.
CAGGUCAACCAGGUGCGCGCGCUGAACAAGUGAGGAAAGUCCGUACACCACAGAGCAGGAUGCCAGGUAACCCCUGGGAAGGCGUAAGCUUUCGGAUCGGGCCACAGAGACAUACCGCUCGCAAGAGCAAGGGUGAAAAGGUGGUGUAAGAGACCACCGGCGUUUCUGGCAACAGAGACGGCCAGGUAACCCCCAUCCGGUGCAAGGUCAAACAGGAGAAAGAGCCUGCUCGGCUCAUUUGAUCUCCGGGUAGACCGCAUGAGCAGUCUGGUGACAGAUUGUCGAGAUAGAUGCGCAUCCGCGACAGAAUACGGCUUACCGGUUGACCUGAGUA